GAUGAACGCUAGCGGCAGGCUUAAUACAUGCAAGUCGAGGGGCAGCACGGUUAGCAAUAACUGGUGGCGACCGGCGCACGGGUGCGUAACACGUAUACAAUCUACCUUAAACAGGGGGAUAGCCUUUCGAAAGAGAGAUUAAUACCCCGUAAUAAAUUGAACGGCAUCGUUUGAUUUUGAAAGCUCCGGCGGUUUGAGAUGAGUAUGCGUCUGAUUAGCUAGUUGGUGAGGUAACGGCUCACCAAGGCGACGAUCAGUAGGGGAUCUGAGAGGACUAACCCCCACACUGGUACUGAGACACGGACCAGAUUCCUACGGGAGGCAGCAGUAAGGAAUAUUGGUCAAUGGAGGCAACUCUGAACCAGCCAUGCCGCGUGCAGGAUGACGGCCCUAUGGGUUGUAAACUGCUUUUAUACAAGAGAAAACCCUGGUACGUGUACCAGGUUGAUAGUAUUGUAAGAAUAAGCAUCGGCUAACUUCGUGCCAGCAGCCGCGGU
This 497-nucleotide ribosomal RNA is filed under the name uncultured bacterium. RNAcentral describes it as "bacterial SSU rRNA". It matches the Rfam family "Bacterial small subunit ribosomal RNA", at positions 28 to 521 of the family's 1533-position model. The record is from RNAcentral.